GAUGAAUGCUGGCGGCGUGCCUAACACAUGCAAGUCGAGCGGCAGCGCGUCUAGUUUACUAGAUGGCGGCGAGCGGCGGACGGCUGAGUAACGCGUGGGAACGUGCCCCAAAGUGAGGAAUAACUGCCCGAAAGGGUAGCUAAUGCCGCAUAUGGUCUUCGGAUUAAAGUAUUUAUACGCUUUGGGAGCGGCCCGCGUCGGAUUAGGUUGUUGGUGAGGUAAUGGCUCACCAAGCCGACGAUCCGUAGCUGGCCUGAGAGGAUGAUCAGCCAGACUGGAACUGAGACACGGUCCAGACUCCUACGGGAGGCAGCAGUGAGGAAUCUUCCACAAUGGGCGAAAGCCUGAUGGAGCAACGCCGCGUGCAGGAUGAAGGCCUUCGGGUCGUAUACUGCUUUUAUAAGUGAAGAAUAUGACGGUAACUUAUGAAUAAGCACCGGCUAACUACGUGCCAGCAGCCGCAGUAA
This 467-nucleotide ribosomal RNA is filed under the name uncultured bacterium. Its description in RNAcentral is "partial 16S ribosomal RNA". It matches the Rfam family "Bacterial small subunit ribosomal RNA", at positions 28 to 523 of the family's 1533-position model. The record is from RNAcentral.